CUAAGAAUAUUCCGCAAUGGGCGAAAGCCUGACGGAGCGACGCCGCGUGGAUGAUGAAGGCCGGAAGGUUGUAAAGUCCUUUUAUGACAGAGGAAUAACCGGGGCAGGGAAUGGCACCGGGGUGACUGUAGGUCAUGAAUAAGCACCGGCUAAUUACGUGCCAGCAGCCGCGGUAACACGUAAGGUGCGAGCGUUGUUCGGAAUUAUUGGGCGUAAAGGGCAUGUAGGCGGACCUGCAAGCUUGGAGUGAAAUCCACGGGCUCAACCCGUGAACUGCUCCGGGAACUGCAGGACUCGAAUCGCUGAGGGGGAGCCGGAAUUCCA
This 324-nucleotide ribosomal RNA is filed under the name uncultured Treponema sp. Its description in RNAcentral is "bacterial SSU rRNA". It matches the Rfam family "Bacterial small subunit ribosomal RNA", at positions 355 to 671 of the family's 1533-position model. The record is from RNAcentral. Lineage: Bacteria; Pseudomonadati; Spirochaetota; Spirochaetia; Treponematales; Treponemataceae.